UAAUACGUAGGGUGCGAGCGUUAAUCGGAAUUACUGGGCGUAAAGCGUGCGUAGGCGGUUCGCUGUGUCUGCGGUGAAAUCCCCGGGCUCAACCUGGGAAUGGCCGUGGAAACUGGCGAGCUGGAGUGUGGCAGAGGGGGGUGGAAUUCCGCGUGUAGCAGUGAAAUGCGUAGAGAUGCGGAGGAACACCGAUGGCGAAGGCAACCCCCUGGGCUGACACUGACGCUCAGGCACGAAAGCGUGGGGAGCAAACAGGAUUAGAUACCCUGGUAGUCCACGCCCUAAACGAUGUCAACUGGGUGUCGGGGGAGCGAUUUCUCGGUACCGUAGCUAACGCGUGAAGUUGACCGCCUGGGGAGUACGGCCGCAAGGUUA
RNAcentral lists this ribosomal RNA (375 nucleotides) under uncultured bacterium. RNAcentral's name for it is "bacterial SSU rRNA". It matches the Rfam family "Bacterial small subunit ribosomal RNA", at positions 521 to 896 of the family's 1533-position model. The record is from RNAcentral.